Molecule: long non-coding RNA, 618 nt
Organism: Hypanus sabinus (Atlantic stingray)
Lineage: Eukaryota; Metazoa; Chordata; Chondrichthyes; Myliobatiformes; Dasyatidae
Exons: 2
Source: RefSeq, a predicted model, not a curated record
UUUGUGGGAGCAGUGGUUGUAGAUGGUUGCUUCUCUAACUGGAAGCAUGUGACAGAGAUCAGUGCUGGGUGUGUUGUUGUUUUGUUAUCUAUGUCAACAAUCUGAAUGAUAAUGUGGAUCCUGAUUACAGAUUGGCACUAUAUUUUACAACAUAGUUUUUAAUAAAGAUAUGGAGCUGUCGAGCACCUUCACUCCAUUAGUGAAAAACAGGAUUUUCUGGUGGCUGACAUUUUUAAUUCCAAUCUGCAUUACCAUUCCAAGAUGUUGAUCCAUGGCCUUCUCUGCUGGCACAAUGAGGCCACCCUCAAGACUACGCAGCCUUUAACCUGAUGGCAUGAACAUUGAGUUAUCCAACUUCCCCUGUCCUCCCCCUUUCCUCUUCUUCAAUUCCCUGCUCUGGAUCCCCUCUUACCUCUUCUCGUCACAUGCCUAUCACCUCCCCUUGAUGCCCCUUCUCCUUCCCUUUCUCCCACAGUUCACAGUCCUGUCUUAUCAGAUUCCUUCUUCUCCAGCCCUUUAACUUUUCCAGGAAUCACUUCCCAGCUUCUUACUUCACCUCCCACCCACAUUGCUUCACCUAUCACUCCUCCCCCCACCCCAACUUUCUUAUUCUGACAU